CAAACUUGAGAGUUUGAUCCUGGCUCAGAACGAACGCUGGCGGCAGGCCUAACACAUGCAAGUCGAACGAAGGCCCGGAGCUUGCUCCGGUGUCCUUAGUGGCAGACGGGAUAGUAACGCGUGGGAAUUUGCCCAAUAGUACGGAAUAACUGCGGGAAACUGCAGCUAAUACCGUAUACGCC
RNAcentral lists this ribosomal RNA (182 nucleotides) under Rhodospirillaceae bacterium. Its description in RNAcentral is "partial 16S ribosomal RNA". It matches the Rfam family "Bacterial small subunit ribosomal RNA", at positions 1 to 179 of the family's 1533-position model. Lineage: Bacteria; Pseudomonadati; Pseudomonadota; Alphaproteobacteria; Rhodospirillales; Rhodospirillaceae. The record is from RNAcentral.